AGAGUUUGAUCCUGGCUCAGAAUGAACGCUGGCGGCGUGCUUAACACAUGCAAGUCGAACGAGAAAGAGGUUGCUUGCAACCUUGAGUAGAGUGGCGCACGGGUGAGUAACACGUAGAUAAUCUACCUUCAAGCCUGGAAUAACUAUUCGAAAGGGUAGCUAAUACCGGAUAAAGUUGAUCAGCAUAAGUUGGUUUAUGAAAGAUUGCCUCUUCUUGAAAGCAAUUGUUUGGAGAUGAGUCUGCGGACCAUUAGUUUGUUGGUGGGGUAAAGGCCUACCAAGACUACGAUGGUUAGCUGGUCUGAGAGGAUGAUCAGCCACACUGGAACUGACACACGGUCCAGACUCCUACGGGAGGCAGCAGUGAGGAAUUUUGCGCAAUGGGGGAAACCCUGACGCAGCAACGCCGCGUGAGUGAAGAAGGCCCUUGGGUCGUAAAGCUCCGUCGACAGGGAAGAAAUUAACAUCAUCCAAUAGGUGUUGUUAUUGACGGUACCUGUAGAGGAAGCACCGGCUAACUCCGUGCCAGCAGCCGCGGUAACACGGGGGGUGCAAGCGUUAUUCGGAAUUAUUGGGCGUAAAGGGCGCGUAGGCGGUCUUGUCGGUCAGAUGUGAAAGCCCGGGGCUCAACCCUGGAAGUGCAUUUGAAACAGCAAGACUUGAAUACUGGAGAGGAGAGCGGAAUUCCUGGUGUAGAGGUGAAAUUCGUAGAUAUCAGGAGGAACACCGAUGGCGAAGGCAGCUCUCUGGACAGAUAUUGACGCUGAGGCGCGAAGGCGUGGGUAGCGAACAGGAUUAGAUACCCUGGUAGUCCACGCAGUAAACGUUGUUCACUCGGUGUGGCGGAUCUUAAAAUCUGCUGUGCCUAAGCUAACGCAUUAAGUGAACCGCCUGGGGAGUACGGUCGCAAGACUAAAACUCAAAGGAAUUGACGGGGGCCCGCACAAGCGGUGGAGCAUGUGGUUUAAUUCGACAACGCGAAGAACCUUACCUGGGUUUGACAUCCUGUGAAUCUUUGAGAGAUCAAAGAGUGCCUUCGGGAACACAGUGACAGGUGCUGCAUGGCUGUCGUCAGCUCGUGUCGUGAGGUGUUUGGUUAAGUCCAGCAACGAGCGCAACCCUUAUCGUUAGUUGCCAGCACGUAAUGGUGGGAACUCUAGCGAGACUGCUCGGGUUAACCGGGAGGAAGGCGGGGAUGACU
RNAcentral lists this ribosomal RNA (1201 nucleotides) under metagenome. Its description in RNAcentral is "bacterial SSU rRNA". It matches the Rfam family "Bacterial small subunit ribosomal RNA", at positions 8 to 1184 of the family's 1533-position model. The record is from RNAcentral.